This is a long non-coding RNA of Bombyx mori (domestic silkworm), 328 nucleotides long. RefSeq lists it as uncharacterized. The record is from RefSeq and is a predicted model, not a curated record. NCBI's taxonomy places the organism in Eukaryota, Metazoa, Arthropoda, Insecta, Lepidoptera, Bombycidae. The transcript is spliced from 2 exons.
UCGUUUGUUUCUAUUCUAACUGCUAGAAAGUAAUAAUGCACAUCCUUUGAAGUAACUUUUUUUUAUGAAAACAUAUCACAAAAUAAAUUGUAUAAAAAUAUUUAAAUCUCAUUCUGAUAUGUUAAAUUUUCAAUUCGAAAAUAAAUUGUCCUUUGUUCUUUACAAUGGUCGACCUUGUUAUUAUUGGAUUUGAUCUGUAAGCAUUAAUCAUUAACGUGUCAGCAAAAUUGGAAAAAAUGGUAUUUUAUGGUUUGGUAUUUUUUGGUCAAAUUUCUAUUAUCGCAAUCAUGUCGAGUUUUACUGAAUAAAGAUUCGAAUGCACCCUAAA